Molecule: ribosomal RNA, 445 nt
Filed under: uncultured bacterium
Lineage: Bacteria
Description: partial 16S ribosomal RNA
Rfam family: Bacterial small subunit ribosomal RNA
Source: RNAcentral
GUGAGGAAUAUUGCGCAAUGGAGGCAACUCUGACGCAGCCAUGCCGCGUGCAGGAAGAAGGCGCUACGCGUUGUAAACUGCUUUUAACCGGGAAGAAACCCCAGGACGUGUCCUGGGUUGACGGUACCGGAGGAAUAAGCACCGGCUAACUUCGUGCCAGCAGCCGCGGUAAUACGAAGGGUGCAAGCGUUAUCCGGAUUCAUUGGGUUUAAAGGGUGCGUAGGCGGAGCGUUAAGUCAGUGGUGAAAUCCUGCAGCUUAACUGUAGACUUGCCAUUGAUACUGGCGCUCUUGAGUGCACUUGAAGUGGGCGGAAUGUGCCGUGUAGCGGUGAAAUGCUUAGAUAUGGCACAGAACACCAAUUGCGAAGGCAGCUCACUAAGGCGAUACUGACGCUGAGGCACGAAAGCGUGGGGAUCGAACAGGAUUAGAUACCCUGGUAGUCC